AAUCAACGCUGGCGGCGUGCUAACACAUGCAAGUCGCACGAGAAAGGGGAGCAAUCCCUGAGUAAAGUGGCGCACGGGUGAGUAACACGUGAUUAAUCUACCCUCGAGUGGGGAAUAACUGAGAGAAAUCUUAGCUAAUACCGCAUAACACUUACGAGUCAAAGCAGCAAUGCGCUUGGGGAGGAGGUCGCGGCCGAUUAGCUAGUUGGCGGGGUAAUGGCCCACCAAGGCGAUGAUCGGUAUCCGGCCUGAGAGGGCGCACGGACACACUGGAACUGAAACACGGUCCAGACUCCUACGGGAGGCAGCAGUGGGGAAUUUUGCGCAAUGGGGGAAACCCUGACGCAGCAACGCCGCGUGGAGGAUGAAGUAUCUUGGUACGUAAACUCCUUUCGAUGGGGAAGAUUAUGACGGUACCCAUAGAAGAAGCCCCGGCUAACUUCGUGCCAGCAGCCGCGGUAAUACGAGGGGGGCAAGCGUUGUUCGGAUUUAUUGGGCGUAAAGGGUGCGUAGGCGGUUUGGCAAGUCUUAUGUGAAAUCUUCGGGCUCAACCCGAAGCCUGCAUAAGAAACUGCCG
This 577-nucleotide ribosomal RNA is filed under the name uncultured bacterium. RNAcentral describes it as "bacterial SSU rRNA". It matches the Rfam family "Bacterial small subunit ribosomal RNA", at positions 28 to 638 of the family's 1533-position model. The record is from RNAcentral.